Long non-coding RNA from Ipomoea nil (Japanese morning glory), 504 nucleotides. RefSeq lists it as uncharacterized. The record is from RefSeq and is a predicted model, not a curated record. The transcript has 3 exons. Lineage: Eukaryota; Viridiplantae; Streptophyta; Magnoliopsida; Solanales; Convolvulaceae.
CUGAAAAAACAAGAAAAAAUAAAAACCAUUGAGAACUUUAACAAAAAAGAAUAAUUUUUUCUUGCAACCUUGAAAAAGAUCUCUGCUUUCCACCUUUGAACUCAACUUGUAACCUGCAAAAAUAAAACCGGCAAUAACUAGUCAAUCCAUGUUUGUAAUUUUUCUCGAAAACACCCGAAUUUGGAAUACUAAGCUUACAAUGAUUAUACCCACUUCUUUUUUUUUUCUUCUUUCUCGCCAUAAAAAUCGGAUCAUAACAGCAACCCAAAUGCCAAAGUAAAAGAAAAUGAAAAAGAAAAACCCAGGAAAAGAUUAAUUAUAACAAAUUUCAAUGUAAGCUGUAAGAAACUUACGUUGCCGGAAGUUCAAAAGUUCUUUAUUUCUCCGACGAGUCAGAGGAACAAUCGCCGGCGGAAGCUUCUUAUUGGAAGCAAAGUGCGAGCACCAUACCCUCACUUAUAAAGAUGAGCUGCUCAUUUCAGCACCUAUAUAUAUAUAUAUAUA